AUUGAACGCUGGCGGCAGGCUUAACACAUGCAAGUCGAGAGAGCGGCGGACGGGUGAGUAAUGUCUGGGAAACUGCCUGAUGGAGGGGGAUAACUACUGGAAACGGUAGCUAAUACCGCAUACCAUCGGAUGUGCCCAGAUGGGAUUAGCUAGUAGGGGGGGUAACGGCUCACCUAGUCGACGAUCCCUAGCUGGUCUGAGAGGAUGACCAGCCACACUGGUACUGAGACACGGUCCAGACUCCUACUGGGGGCAGCAGUGUGGAAUCUGGCACAAUGGUCGCAAGCCUGAUGCAGCCAUGCCGCGUGUAUGAAGAAGGCCUACGGGUUGUAAAGUACUUUCAUCUAGUAGGCGUUACUCGCAGAUGAAGCACCGGCUAACUCCGUGCCAGCAGCCGCGGUAAUAC
This 406-nucleotide ribosomal RNA is filed under the name uncultured bacterium. Its description in RNAcentral is "partial 16S ribosomal RNA". It matches the Rfam family "Bacterial small subunit ribosomal RNA", at positions 30 to 526 of the family's 1533-position model. The record is from RNAcentral.